UAAAAAUGAUGUCAACUCAGUCCUGCUACUGUAAAAACGUUGAUGAUACCCAAUUACCAUCCAUUUAUUCUGAUUA
This 76-nucleotide small nucleolar RNA is filed under the name Orchesella cincta. The record is from RNAcentral. Lineage: Eukaryota; Metazoa; Arthropoda; Collembola; Entomobryomorpha; Orchesellidae.